This 202-nucleotide ribosomal RNA is filed under the name uncultured bacterium. Its description in RNAcentral is "partial 16S ribosomal RNA". It matches the Rfam family "Bacterial small subunit ribosomal RNA", at positions 524 to 725 of the family's 1533-position model. The record is from RNAcentral.
UAUGUAGGGUGCGAGCGUUGUCCGGAAUUACUGGGCGUAAAGAGUUCGUAGGCGGUUUGUCGCGUCGUUCGUGAAACUUGGGGCUUAACUCCAAGCGUGCGGGCGAUACGGGCAGACUUGAGUACUACAGGGGAGACUGGAAUCCUGGUGUAGCGGUGAAAAUGCGCAGAUAUCAGGAGGAACACCGGGUGGCGAAGGCGGG